This 292-nucleotide ribosomal RNA is filed under the name uncultured bacterium. Its description in RNAcentral is "partial 16S ribosomal RNA". It matches the Rfam family "Bacterial small subunit ribosomal RNA", at positions 505 to 796 of the family's 1533-position model. The record is from RNAcentral.
GUGUCAGCAGCCGCGGUAAUACGGGGGGUGCGAGCGUUGUCCGGAAUCACUGGGCGUAAAGGGCGCGUAGGUGGCGUGAUAAGGGUGUGGUGAAAGCCCGGGGCUCAACCCCGGGUCUGCCAUGCCGACUGUCAGGCUAGAGUACUGUAGGGGCAGGCGGAAUUCCGGGUGUAGCGGUGGAAUGCGUAGAGAUCCGGAGGAAGACCGGUGGCGAAGGCGGCCUGCUGGGCAGUUACUGACACUGAGGCGCGACAGCGUGGGGAGCAAACAGGAUUAGAAACCCUUGUAGUCC